UACGUAGGGACCCGAGCGUUGUCCGGAUUUAUUGGGCGUAAAGCGCGCGUAGGCGGCCGUCCACGUCGGAUGUGAAAGCUCGGGGCUCAACCCUGAGAGGCCAUCCGAUACGGGACGGCUUGAGGCAGCUAGGGGAGAGUGGAAUUCCUGGUGUAGCGGUGAAAUGCGCAGAUAUCAGGAGGAACACCGGUGGCGAAGGCGGCUCUCUGGGGCUGAUCUGACGCUGAGACGCGAAAGCGUGGGGAGCGAACAGGAUUAGAAACCCUGGUAGU
RNAcentral lists this ribosomal RNA (272 nucleotides) under uncultured bacterium. RNAcentral describes it as "partial 16S ribosomal RNA". It matches the Rfam family "Bacterial small subunit ribosomal RNA", at positions 524 to 794 of the family's 1533-position model. The record is from RNAcentral.